ACGAACGCUGGCGGCAUGCCUCACACCUGCAAGUCGAACGAGACCUUCGGGUCUAGUGGCGCACGGGUGCGUAACGCGUGGGAACCUGCCCUUAGGUUCGGAAUAACUCCCCGAAAGGGGUGCUAAUACCGGAUAAUGUCUUCGGACCAAAGAUUUAUCGCCUUUGGAUGGGCCCGCGUUGGAUUAGCUAGUUGGUAGGGUAAAAGCCUACCAAGGCGACGAUCCAUAGCUGGUCUGAGAGGAUGAUCAGCCACACUGGGACUGAGACACGGCCCAGACUCCUACGGGAGGCGGCAGUGGGGAAUAUUGGACAAUGGGCGAAAGCCUGAUCCAGCAAUGCCGCGUGAGUGAUGAAGGCCUUAGGGUUGUAAAGCUCUUUUACCCGGGAUGAUAAUGACAGUACCGGGAGAAUAAGCUCCGGCUAACUCCGUG
This 432-nucleotide ribosomal RNA is filed under the name uncultured bacterium. Its description in RNAcentral is "partial 16S ribosomal RNA". It matches the Rfam family "Bacterial small subunit ribosomal RNA", at positions 29 to 507 of the family's 1533-position model. The record is from RNAcentral.